RNAcentral lists this ribosomal RNA (590 nucleotides) under Triticum aestivum (bread wheat). RNAcentral's name for it is "partial small subunit ribosomal RNA". Lineage: Eukaryota; Viridiplantae; Streptophyta; Magnoliopsida; Poales; Poaceae. The record is from RNAcentral.
ACAGACGGCACAGAAAUGUGCCUUUGCCGUCAGCCAAAAAUGCAUCUUUGCCGUCAUCCAGGAACAUCACAGACGGCAAAGAACAUUAUUUUAUUUAUAAAAAAAUAAACCAACAGACCAAUUGGAGACCCCAAAUGGUCAAAGGUGUAGACAAAAUCAUCACUUGCAUUUUUUCUUUCUUCUGAUAUUCAUUCGUUUGUGCCGCGCUUUGGUAGUCUGACAACCAUCUUAGUCUGACAAUCAUCUUAUGUAUGCAUCAUACAAGUUUCAUUACACAGGGAUUACAAAGGGUGUCAAACAAAAAAAUCAGAUUACAGAGGGAUUACAAAGGGUGUCAAACAAAAAAAACAGAUUACAGACGGUGGCUGGCGUGGUACGGGUGAGCCACGCCAUUGCCGUCGUGGCACAACAGUGGCCGGUGCGGAACGACGGUGACCGGCGUGGAACGGAGCGUGCAGGCCGUUGCGGCACGAUUCGCCGCAAGCGGGGCUGAUGGGGAACAAGGCCGGGGCCGAUGAGGGCGAUGUGCCGGGGUCGACGAUGGACGGGGCAGGGGCCAGCAGAGGCCUACGGGAGCGAAUGCAACGCGG